Molecule: ribosomal RNA, 315 nt
Filed under: uncultured eukaryote
Lineage: Eukaryota
Description: partial 18S ribosomal RNA
Rfam family: Eukaryotic small subunit ribosomal RNA
Source: RNAcentral
CCCUUAGACGUUCUGGGCCGCACGCGCGCUACACUGACCAGUGCAACAAGCAUCCGUCCUUGGCCGACAGGCCCUGGCAAUCUUUGAACGCUGGUCGUGAUGGGGAUAGACUUUUGCAAUUUUUGGUCUUCAACGAGGAAUUCCUAGUAAACGCAAGUCAUCAACUUGCAUUGAUUACGUCCCUGCCCUUUGUACACACCGCCCGUCGCACCUACCGAUUGAAUGGUCCGGUGAAGCCUCCGGAUUGGCGCGCACCUCGGUGCCGCCGAGAAGUUGGCUAAACCUUACCAUUUAGAGGAAGGUGAAGUCGUAACA